CGUCGAGCGGCGGACGCGGUGAGUAAUACUUAGGAAUCUACCUAGUAGUGGGGGAUAGCACGGGGCAAACUCGUAUUAAUACCGCAUACGACCUACGGGAGAAAGGGGGCAGUUUACUGCUCUCGCUAUUAGAUGAGCCUAAGUCGGAUUAGCUAGAUGGUGGGGUAAAGGCCUACCAUGGCGACGAUCUGUAGCUGGUCUGAGAGGAUGAUCAGCCACACCGGGACUGAGACACGGCCCGGACUCCUACGGGAGGCAGCAGUGGGGAAUAUUGGACAAUGGGGGAAACCCUGAUCCAGCCAUGCCGCGUGUGUGAAGAAGGCCUUUUGGUUGUAAAGCACUUUAAGCAGUGAAGAAGACUCUUCGGUUAAUACCCGGAGACGAUGACAUUAGCUGCAGAAUAAGCACCGGCUAACUCUGUGCCAGCAGCCGCGGUAAUACAGAGGGUGCAAGCGUUAAUCGGAAUUACUGGGCGUAAAGGGAGCGUAGGUGGCUCGAUAAGUCAGAUGUGAAAUCCCCGGGCUCAACCUGGGAACUGCAUCUGAUACUGUUGAGCUAGAGUAUGUGAGAGGAAGGUAGAAUUCCAGGUGUAGCGGUGAAAUGCGUAGAGAUCUGGAGGAAUACCGAUGGCGAAGGCAGCCUUCUGGCAUAAUACUGACACUGAGGCUCGAAAGCGUGGGUAGCAAACAGGAUUAGAUACCCUGGUAGUCCACGCCGUAAACGAUGUCUACUAGUCGUUGGGUCCCUUGAGGACUUAGUGACGCAGCUAACGCAAUAAGU
Molecule: ribosomal RNA, 780 nt
Filed under: Psychrobacter cryohalolentis
Lineage: Bacteria; Pseudomonadati; Pseudomonadota; Gammaproteobacteria; Moraxellales; Moraxellaceae
Description: bacterial SSU rRNA
Rfam family: Bacterial small subunit ribosomal RNA
Source: RNAcentral